GACGAACGCUGGCGGCGUGCCUAAUACAUGCAAGUAGAACGCUGAAGGAGGAGCUUGCUUCUCUGGAUGAGUUGCGAACGGGUGAGUAACGCGUAGGUAACCUGCCUGGUAGCGGGGGAUAACUAUUGGAAACGAUAGCUAAUACCGCAUAAUAGUAGAUGUUGCAUGACAUUUGCUUAAAAGGUGCAAUUGCAUCACUACCAGAUGGACCUGCGUUGUAUUAGCUAGUUGGUGAGGUAACGGCUCACCAAGGCGACGAUACAUAGCCGACCUGAGAGGGGGAUCGGCCACACUGGGACUGAGACACGGCCCAGACUCCUACGGGAGGCAGCAGUAGGGAAUCUUCGGCAAUGGACGGAAGUCUGACCGAGCAACGCCGCGUGAGUGAAGAAGGUUUUCGGAUCGUAAAGCUCUGUUGUAAGAGAAGAACGAGUGUGAGAGUGGAAAGUUCACACUGUGACGGUAGCUUACCAGAAAGGGACGGCUAACUACGUG
Molecule: ribosomal RNA, 495 nt
Filed under: uncultured bacterium
Lineage: Bacteria
Description: partial 16S ribosomal RNA
Rfam family: Bacterial small subunit ribosomal RNA
Source: RNAcentral